UUUUUUUUUUUUUUAAAUUUAGAUGUCCCUCACUCAACCAUACUUUUAUUUUUCAUACAAGCACAUGCAUAUAAUGUGUGGAGAUUGCCAGCUAGUGUGUUUGUGUGUCUAUAUAUAAACAAAGGAUAUGUCAGAGAGACUAAAUUCAUAAACUAAUUUUGUAAACUAAAUGAUAUGAAAGUUAAUAAUUGAAUUAUUACUUAAACGUUGAUAAAUGUGUUCAUUUCUAUUGGUGACACAUCAUUUAAUUUACAAAUUUUAUCUACAAAUUUAGUUUCUUAACAUUACCCAUCUACAAAAUACCUUCAACUGUGCGUGAUCAUACCUAAAUCCCUUAAAUUGUGUGCCGAAAAAUGGUUUUUAGUUACUUCUUAACAUCUGAAUUUUAAUUUCGACAACAUCUUUGAUUUUAGGGUUAGGAGAGAGGUCAGGGUUUAGAUUAGCUAUGGUCUAUGGAUGACUCAUGUUGAAGAUUUAAUCGCAUCGUUUGAGAGAUACCCAAACGGAGUGCAAAAACUGCAAUAGGUUUUGUUUACAGAUACAUACUGUAAACAUGAAAAUUCU
Molecule: long non-coding RNA, 564 nt
Filed under: Malus domestica (apple)
Lineage: Eukaryota; Viridiplantae; Streptophyta; Magnoliopsida; Rosales; Rosaceae
Description: long non-coding RNA (MDOM_LNC003079)
Source: RNAcentral